AGAGUUUGAUCCUGGCUCAGGAUGAACGCUGGCGGCGUGCCUAACACAUGCAAGUCGAGCGGGAUUUUCCGGACUGAAGCUUCGGCAGAAAGAAGGAAAUGAGAGCGGCGGACGGGUGAGUAACGCGUAGGCAACCUGCCCUUUGCAGAGGGAUAGCCAUUGGAAACGAUGAUUAAAACCUCAUAAUGCCAGGAAGUGACAUCGCUAUCUGGCCAAAGAUUUAUCGGCAAAGGAUGGGCCUGCGUCUGAUUAGCUGGUUGGUGGGGUAACGGCCUACCAAGGCGACGAUCAGUAGCCGACCUGAGAGGGUGAACGGCCACAUUGGAACUGAGACACGGUCCAAACUCCUACGGGAGGCAGCAGUGGGGAAUAUUGCACAAUGGGCGAAAGCCUGAUGCAGCAACGCCGCGUGAAGGAAGAAGGUCUUCGGAUUGUAAACUUCUGUCCUAAGGGAAGAUAAUGACGGUACCUUAGGAGGAAGCCCCGGCUAACUACGUGCCAGCAGCCGCGGUAAUACGUAGGGGGCAAGCGUUAUCCGGAAUUAUUGGGCGUAAAGAGUGCGUAGGUGGUUACCUAAGCAGGGGGUGAAAGGCAAUGGCUCAACCAUUGUUAGCCCCCUGAACUGGGCUACUUGAGUGCAGGAGAGGAAAGCGGAAUUCCUAGUGUAGCGGUGAAAUGCGUAGAUAUUAGGAGGAACACCAGUGGCGAAGGCGGCUUUCUGGACUGUAACUGACACUGAGGCACGAAAGUGUGGGGAGCAAACAGGAUUAGAUACCCUGGUAGUCCACACCGUAAACGAUGAGCACUAGGUGUCGGGGUCGCAAGACUUCGGUGCCCGAAUUAACGCAUUAAG
Molecule: ribosomal RNA, 853 nt
Filed under: uncultured bacterium
Lineage: Bacteria
Description: bacterial SSU rRNA
Rfam family: Bacterial small subunit ribosomal RNA
Source: RNAcentral